UGGGGAAUUUUACACAAUGGGCGAAAGCCUGAUGUAGCAACGCCGCGUGGAGGAUGAAGGUUUUCGGAUUGUAAACUCCUUUUAUUAGGGAAGAAAUUUGACGGUACCUAAUGAAUAAGCGCCGGCUAACUCCGUGCCAGCAGCCGCGGUAAUACGGAGGGCGCAAGCGUUACUCGGAAUCACUGGGCGUAAAGGGAGCGUAGGCUUUUUAUCAAGUCUCGAGUGAAAUGCUAUAGCUUAACUAUAGAACUGCUUGGGAAACUGAUAGAAUAGAGUAUGGAAGAGGUAGGUGGAAUUUCCAGUGUAGGGGUAAAAUCCGUAGAUAUUGGAAGGAAUACCAGAAGCGAAGGCGACCUACUGGGACAUUACUGACGCUGAGGCUCGAAAGCGUGGGGAGCAA
RNAcentral lists this ribosomal RNA (400 nucleotides) under uncultured bacterium. RNAcentral's name for it is "bacterial SSU rRNA". It matches the Rfam family "Bacterial small subunit ribosomal RNA", at positions 355 to 771 of the family's 1533-position model. The record is from RNAcentral.